CCUCCAUGAUCUGCGGGCAGAUCAGGUGGACGUGGCAGUCGAUGGCGCCCGCCGUGAGAAUGCGCCCGUUGCCUGCGACGACCUCGGUCGAGGGUCCGACGACCAGAUCGGGAUGGACGCCGUCCAUGAUGUCGGGGUUGCCGGCCUUGCCGAUCGCGACGAUGCGCCCGUCGCGGAUGCCUAUGUCGGCCUUGAUGAUCCCCCAGUGGUCGAGCACGACGGCGCCGGUGAUGACGGUGUCGGGGGCGCCGUCGGCACGGGUGGCCCGCGACUGUCCCAUCGACUCGCGCAG
This 292-nucleotide small RNA is filed under the name Mycolicibacterium doricum. Its description in RNAcentral is "Mycobacterium doricum 5' ureB small RNA". It matches the Rfam family "5' ureB small RNA". The record is from Rfam by way of RNAcentral. Lineage: Bacteria; Bacillati; Actinomycetota; Actinomycetes; Mycobacteriales; Mycobacteriaceae.